This is a long non-coding RNA of Talpa occidentalis (Iberian mole), 154 nucleotides long. RefSeq lists it as uncharacterized. Lineage: Eukaryota; Metazoa; Chordata; Mammalia; Eulipotyphla; Talpidae. The record is from RefSeq and is a predicted model, not a curated record. The transcript has 3 exons.
UGUUAGUCUCAGAAGGAAAGCUUGGGUCAGAGGAUGGAGGAAAAUGAAACAGUCCACAUGGCAAACUGGGAGGUUUUUAUCUUCAUGAUGAAAAUGUGGCUCAGAGAUUGAAGGCUAGACCACCAAGAGACUUCAACCAUAUGGAACCCUGGAC